This 362-nucleotide unclassified non-coding RNA is filed under the name uncultured bacterium. Its description in RNAcentral is "contains 16S-23S intergenic spacer region". The record is from RNAcentral.
UCCCGGUUACCCGGGCAGUCUCGUGUGAAAGUGUAACACACGACAAGGGUUGCGCUCGUUGCGGGACUUAACCCAACAUCUCACGACACGAGCUGACGACGGCCAUGCAGCACCUGUCACUUGGCUCCAAAAGGCACUUCCAUCUUUCGACGGAAUUCCAAGGAUGUCAAGCCUCGGUAAGGUUUUUCGCUUAGCAUCGAAUUAAACCACAUACUCCACUGCUUGUGCGGGUCCCCGUCAAUUCCUUUGAGUUUUAAACUUGCGUUCGUACUCCCCAGGCGGGAUGCUUAUCGCGUUAGCUUCGUGACACAAAGGGUCGAGACCCCAUAUCACUAGCAUCCAUCGUUUACGGCGUGGACUAC